This 1488-nucleotide ribosomal RNA is filed under the name uncultured Bordetella sp. RNAcentral's name for it is "partial 16S-23S ribosomal RNA intergenic spacer". It matches the Rfam family "Bacterial small subunit ribosomal RNA". The record is from RNAcentral. Lineage: Bacteria; Pseudomonadati; Pseudomonadota; Betaproteobacteria; Burkholderiales; Alcaligenaceae.
GGUUCGGAUUAUGGCUCAGAUUGAACGCUGGCGGAUGCUUUACACAUGCAAAUGAAGGGUUGCAUCGACUUCGGUCUGGUGGCGAGUGGCGAAUGAAGGAGUAAAUUACCGGAACGUGCCUAGUAGCGGGGGAUAACUACGCGCGAAAGCGUAGCUAAUACCGCAUACGCCCUUCGGGGAAAGCGGGGGACCUUCGGCCUCGCACUGCUGGGGGAGCGGCCGAUAUCGGAUUAGUUAGUUAUGGGGUAACGGCUCACCAAGGCGGACAUCCGUAGCUGGUUUGAGAGGACGACCACACUGGGACUGAGACACGGCCCAGACUCCUACGGAGGCAGCAGUGGGGGAAUUCUGACAAUGGGGGAAACUUCUGAUCCAGCCAUCCCGCGUGUGCGAUGAAGGCCUUCGGUUGUAAAGCACUUUUGGCAGGAAAGAAACGGCACGGAUAAUACCCCGUGCAACUGACGGUACCUGCAGAGCUAAGCACUUACGCCAACUACGCUACAGCAGCCGCGGUAAUACGUAGGUGCAAGCGUUAAUCGGAAUUACUGGGCGCAAAGCGUGCGUAAGGGGCGGUCUGGUGCAAAGAUGUGAAAUCCCAGAGCUUAACUUUGAACUGCAUUUUUAACUACCGAGCAGAGUGUGUCAGAGGAGUGUGGAAUUCCGCGUGUAGCAGUGAAAUGGUGUAGAUAUGCGGGGAGAACAACGAUGGCGGAAGGGCAGCCUCCUGGGAUAACACUGACGCUCAUGCACGAAAGCGUGGGGAGCAAACAGGAUUAGAUACUCCUGGUAGUCCACGCCUCUAAACGAUGUCAACUAGCUGUUAGCCUUCGGGCCUUAUAGCGCAGCUAACGCGUGAAGUUGACCGUCUGGGGAGCACGGUCGCAAGAUUAAAACUCAAAGGAAUUGACGGGGACUCAACAAGCGGUGGAUGAUGUGGAUUAAUUCGAUGUAACGAAAAACCUUACUCUACUCUUGACAUGCAGUUUGGAAUCCCGAAGAGAUUUGGGAGUGCUCGCAAGAGAACCGGAACAUGGGUGCUGCAUGGCUGUCGUCAGCUCGUGUCGUGAGAUGUUGGGUUAAGUCCCGCAACGAGCGCAACCCUUGUCAUUAGUUGCUACGAAAGGGGCAAUUUCCACGAGACUGCUAUAGAUAAACGAGGUGGAAGGCAGAUGACGUCAAGUCCUCAUGGCCCUUAUGGGUAGGGCUUCACACGUCAUACAAUGGUCGGGACAGAGGGUCGCCAACCCGCGAGGGGGAGCCAACUUGCGAAACUCGACGCAGUCCGACAGUAGUCGGCAACUCGACCUGCGUGAAGUCGGAAUCGCCAGCAAUCGCGGAUCAGCAUGUCGCGGUGAAUACGUUCCCGGGUCUUGUACACACCGCCCGUCACACCAUGGGAGUGGGUUUUACCAGAAGUAGUUAGCCUAACCGUAAGGAGGGCGAUUACCACGGUAGGAUUCAUGACUGGGGUGAAGUCGUAACAAGGUA